UCCAGGCCCUACGGGGCGCAGCAGGCGCGAAACCUUUACACUGCACGCGAGUGCGAUAAGGGGACUCCAAGUGCGAGGGCAUAUAGUCCUCGCUUUUUCCGACCGUAGGAUGGUCGGCGAAUAAGUGCUGGGCAAGACCGGUGCCAGCCGCCGCGGUAAUACCGGCAGCACGAGUGAUGACCGCUAUUAUUGGGCCUAAAGCGUCCGUAGCUGGCCACGCAAGUCCAUCGGGAAAUCUCUCCGCUCAACGGAGAGGCGUCCGGUGGAAACUGUGUGGCUUGGGACCGGAAGAUCCAGAGGGUACGUCUGGGGUAGGAGUGAAAUCCCGUAAUCCGAGACGGACCACCGGUGGCGAAAGCGCUCUGGAAAGACGGAUCCGACGGUGAGGGACGAAAGCUCGGGUCACGAACCGGAUUAGAUACCCGGGUAGUCCGAGCUGUAAACGAUGUCUGCUAGGUGUGACACAGGCUACGAGCCUGUGUUGUGCCGUAGGGAAGCCGUGAAGCAGACCGCCUGGGAAGUACGUCUGC
RNAcentral lists this ribosomal RNA (530 nucleotides) under Halostagnicola sp. RNAcentral's name for it is "bacterial SSU rRNA". It matches the Rfam family "Archaeal small subunit ribosomal RNA", at positions 315 to 844 of the family's 1478-position model. Lineage: Archaea; Methanobacteriati; Methanobacteriota; Halobacteria; Halobacteriales; Natrialbaceae. The record is from RNAcentral.